This 253-nucleotide ribosomal RNA is filed under the name uncultured bacterium. Its description in RNAcentral is "partial 16S ribosomal RNA". It matches the Rfam family "Bacterial small subunit ribosomal RNA", at positions 524 to 776 of the family's 1533-position model. The record is from RNAcentral.
UACAGAGGUCCCAAGCGUUGUUCGGAUUCACUGGGCGUAAAGGGUGCGUAGGUGGUCGGGUAAGUCUGAAGUGAAAUCUCUGGGCUCAACCCAGAAAUGGCAUUGGAUACUAUCCGGCUCGAGGAGUGGAAGGGGGACUGGAAUACUUGGUGUAGCAGUGAAAUGCGUAGAUAUCAAGUGGAACACCAGUGGCGAAGGCGAGUCCCUGGACACUUCCUGACACUGAGGCACGAAAGCUAGGGGAGCAAACAGU